CCUACGGGUGGCAGCAGUGAGGAAUAUUGGUCAAUGGGCGUAAGCCUGAACCAGCCAAGUCGCGUGAGGGAUGAAUGUUCUAUGGAUCGUAAACCUCUUUUAUAAGGGGAUAAAGUGUGGGACGUGUCCUGUUUUGUAUGUACCGUAUGAAUAAGGAUCGGCUAACUCCGUGCCAGCAGCCGCGGUAAUACGGAGGGUCCGAGCGUUAUCCGGAUUUAUUGGGUUUAAAGGGUGCGUAGGCGGCCUUUUAAGUCAGCGGUGAAAGUCUGUGGCUCAACCAUAGAAGUGCCGUUGAAACUGGGAGCCUUGAGUACGUUGGAGGCAGGCGGAAUGCGUGGUGUAGCGGUGAAAUGCUUAGAUAUCACGAAGAACCCCGAUUGCGAAGGCAGCCUGCCACGCCAUGACUGACGCUGAUGCACGAAAGCGUGGGGAUCAAACAGGAUUAGAUACCCUUGUAGUC
RNAcentral lists this ribosomal RNA (460 nucleotides) under uncultured bacterium. Its description in RNAcentral is "partial 16S ribosomal RNA". It matches the Rfam family "Bacterial small subunit ribosomal RNA", at positions 338 to 795 of the family's 1533-position model. The record is from RNAcentral.